CCUACGGGGGGCUGCAGUGGGGAAUAUUGGACAAUGGGGGCAACCCUGAUCCAGCCAUGCCGCGUGUGUGAAGAAGGCCCUCGGGUUGUAAAGCACUUUCAGUGAGGAAGAACGCCUGGUGGUUAAUACCCAUCAGGAAAGACAUCACUCACAGAAGAAGCACCGGCUAACUCCGUGCCAGCAGCCGCGGUAAUACGGAGGGUGCGAGCGUUAAUCGGAAUUACUGGGCGUAAAGCGCGCGUAGGUGGCUUGAUAAGCCGGUUGUGAAAGCCCCGGACUCAACCUGGGAACGGCAUCCGGAACUGUCAAGCUAGAGUGCAGGAGAGGAAGGUAGAAUUCCCGGUGUAGCGGUGAAAUGCGUAGAGAUCGGGAGGAAUACCAGUGGCGAAGGCGGCCUUCUGGACUGACACUGACACUGAGGUGCGAAAGCGUGGGUAGCAAACAGGAUUAGAUACCCUAGUAGUC
This 465-nucleotide ribosomal RNA is filed under the name Vreelandella stevensii. RNAcentral's name for it is "partial 16S ribosomal RNA". It matches the Rfam family "Bacterial small subunit ribosomal RNA", at positions 338 to 795 of the family's 1533-position model. The record is from RNAcentral. Lineage: Bacteria; Pseudomonadati; Pseudomonadota; Gammaproteobacteria; Oceanospirillales; Halomonadaceae.